CGUUUACUCUUCUACUUGACAAAUUCUCCUCACGGCAUCAGAUUCUUCGAUUCCCCAGAACAACAACGAUCCUAAUCUAUGAACUGAGGAAAAGACACUCGCGACAACUCUCAAAUAGCUAAACACUCGAGGUAAAUCGAGUCCGAGAGUAAAUUAUCGGACGUUCCUACUCUCCACGAUCUAAGAUCGAUCUUUGAGCGAUCUACGUACAAACGUACCGGCUUCUCACUUUCUCGUUCGCGGAUCGACUGGCGGAUAUCGUUGUCGUACCUGGCCGACCGAUCGCCACUGUGCACCUGUUCCCUCGACAGGACAACGUGUCUCCGUUCGAAUUGUCUACUCGUAGUGGGAGUAGAGUGUACACCGUACACCUUAGCCUUAAAGUAUGACGUCAUUGAUCCGUUGACUCGGAAGCGAGACAAGUUACGAAACCUAACCAUGGAAUCGUUAUGGAUUUUUCGCGCCGAUCGGUAAUCUUCGUCCUUUUGCAACGAAAAUAGGGUUUCCAUGGAAAAUCGUCGUAUGAAUGAACGUGCAUAGGAAAGAGGAAAUUAUGUAACGUAGCUCUUAUGAUCGAUUUUUCGCGACGACCUUCGAGCUUUUACAAUAACGUGGAAAAUUUCUAUAAAUUCUGGAGAAUUAAUCGACUAUCGAACACGAAAAGGAGAAAAUUGUGAAACGUAGUUUUUAUCUAUUCUGAGAUGUAAUUUACCUCGGGGUAAAGGUCUGUAAUGAGUUUCAUCUGGAAAUUGCGAAUUGAUUUACUCAGACCGUUGGUCUCUUCCUAUCUGUUCGAAACUGUCCCCGUAGUUUAAGGGAGGUUUGAAAUUAAAGUAACGAGAUCAGAUCAAAAGUUGAUAACAUCACGUGGAAAUAUUGAGAGGAAAAGCAUUGUUAGUAACCUUCUUUUACGUGCUAUUAUUUCUUAUCGCUCUGUUUGAAUUUUCAUGCACUUUGUGAAAAAAUACUUUGUGAAAAAAUAAAGAACUGUGAAUAGUUCUUUACUAACUUCAAAGAAUAAUUAACUGUGGAAAUUAGUCAAAUGUGAAGGUAAAUCGCGAGGCAUUAGGUGGAAGACGAGUGCUCUUCGAGGUUUCCACUCUCUGGGGAUUACAAAGAGAUGAAUGAUCCUCGACAACUCUCCAACAAAGGUAUUUCGAGCCCAUCUGAUAUCCAAUUGCAGGUCAUUUGUGCCUACAUUCUCGACAUUUAUCAACACCAGUUUGUUGAAAGUUGAUUUAUCGUAUCAAACUACUCCUUGAUGGAAGAUCUGACCCAAAGCGCAGACUACCCAAUGGCCAUUCAAUACUACUCACUUCCUCCAAAAUAAUCCCUAAUGGCUGGCUGACUAUUAGGAACGUUUCUAAGGAUUGCUUCCUGCUUUCAAUUACUAUUUCUAUAGGCAGGGUCUCUCUUGGAUCAAUGGUGGCAAAUAAUCUAUCAUUGAACGAGUUUCUCCCUUUGAAUGUUGUGAUGUGGAAAAUUUCUCCGUAUUGAAGGAAGCACUUCUUCUACGAGAAGAAUUUCUAGCAGUGGGAAGAUUGAACUGAACGUUUCCGGAACUGAAUAAUUCUAAGAAUAAAGAAGAACGGAAGACCAUUGGAAAAAUUUCAAAUUAAGGAUGCUAAGACGGAGGAGUUGUGACAGAAAAAAGAUUAUAGAAGAGCAUAACGAAAAUUGUAAUGAUAAGAAAUCGUUUAAGUAUUUCUCGUAGAAAAAGAGUUUUCAAGAAAUAACG
Molecule: long non-coding RNA, 1738 nt
Organism: Bombus impatiens (common eastern bumble bee)
Lineage: Eukaryota; Metazoa; Arthropoda; Insecta; Hymenoptera; Apidae
Exons: 2
Source: RefSeq, a predicted model, not a curated record